Molecule: long non-coding RNA, 217 nt
Filed under: Trifolium pratense (red clover)
Lineage: Eukaryota; Viridiplantae; Streptophyta; Magnoliopsida; Fabales; Fabaceae
Description: long non-coding RNA (TPRA_LNC007106)
Source: RNAcentral
UCAAAAUAGUUGUUUUUUCAUGAAUGAAUUAAAAAUGAGUAAGGAAAGGAAAAGAGAAGAACUUGAUACUUGAAGGGAUAAGAAUAAAAGAACUUGAAGCAUUAUGGCAAUGGCAAGGACGAGGUACUGCUCAAUAAAACUUAUAAGGUUUUCGUAAAUAAAUAAAUAAAUAUAGAAUAAGACAUUCAUUUGAAAUCAUUUAAUAACAAUAAAUUGG